Molecule: long non-coding RNA, 1412 nt
Organism: Loxodonta africana (African savanna elephant)
Lineage: Eukaryota; Metazoa; Chordata; Mammalia; Proboscidea; Elephantidae
Exons: 3
Source: RefSeq, a predicted model, not a curated record
CAGGAUCUGGGGGAGAGGCACCCUUAUCUACCCCACCCCCAGCUAUGUGUCCACAGUGCCCCACCCCACUCCCCAUCCCUCUAGGAUCCCUUGGUGAGAUACUACUUCCAUGGUGGGAGGAGCCCAGGAAGGUGGGCUCAGCUUCUAGGGGUGGAGGUGGGCAUGUGGAGCAGGAAAUACAUGCUUGGAGUAGCAAACAUGUGCAGGGCCCACUGCACAGGCUCUGGAGAUUCAGGCUGGGUCUCCCCAGGGCGGUGGCUCAACAACAACGCUUUUUCCACAGCUCAGUCAGUUCAUUCACCCCCAAAGCCAGCCCACAGCCUCCAGCCCCAGCCCAUUCUUUUUGCUCCCAGUGCUGGGCGCGGCCCCUGGAAGCCUGCCCAGGGGCCCGUAGCAGGAAAAAACCAGCCGCCUUGUGCCUGGUGUGAGGCAGGGCAGGACAAAGUGGCACAGACAGGGAUUAGGAGGAAGGAGGGGAGGCGCAGGGCUGCAUGGCUCCUUGCAGGGCUCACAUGACACCACCAGACAGAAACCCACAGUUGCUUUCAGCCUCCAUUUGCCUUACCACACCUGACCAUGCACACACAGUCUCAUGCAACCCAGCAAACACAAGCUAGUGUGCCUUCACAUGGUCACGCACACACCAAACACACUGCAGCGACAGUGUAUGCAACUCCCGGCAUCUCAGCACCCCUCUGACCUUUCUGUGUGUUUGUUUUUCUGUCUUACAAACACACACAUCCCACCCCAGAGCCUCCACAUCAGGAUCUUACAUCUGGAUCCAUUUACCAUAUCUGGCCCCCACCCACUUCCCCUUCUCCUGCCCCAGAGCCUUGGUCUGAUACCUCUUUCAUGCCAGUCAGGCGACCACAACUCACCAGACCAAGCGACAGGAAACGCUGAGCAGAGAGAAAGGGCUGGGGAGAGAGAAAAAUGGGGGAAGCUCAGCGGUCUGACCUAUUUAUACCCUGGCCAGGCCCUGCCCAUGGCAGGGGAUGGGGGAGAGUGGAGACAGCCCUCCUGCCGUGGGCCCAUGUGAAGCUGGGUGCCUGGAGACUGGCUGGGAAUCCUCUCUUUCCUGUGCAGCCCUGGCCUGUCUCAACCCGUCCCCAGGAAUGAAGCAGAGAAGCAAGGAGGAGGCAGAGGGAGCUCACUGAAGGUCAAUCUCUUUUGAGAUACGAAAGAGAAGCUAGCAAAGGGACGGGGGACCUCAUACCACCAAGAAACCAGAGCCAGGAGAAUAGCACGUCCUUUGGACCCAGGGUCCCUGUGCUGAGAAGCUCCUCGACUGGGGAAGAUUGAUGACAAGGACCUUCCCCCAGAAGCAACAGAAGGAGAAGGCCUUCCCCUGGCACCCCAAAUUGGACUUCUAGCCUCCUAGACUGUGAGAAAAUAAACUUCUGUUUGUUAAA